Small nuclear RNA from Dromiciops gliroides (monito del monte), 107 nucleotides. NCBI's taxonomy places the organism in Eukaryota, Metazoa, Chordata, Mammalia, Microbiotheria, Microbiotheriidae. The record is from RefSeq and is a predicted model, not a curated record.
GUGCUCAUUUUGGCAGCACAUAUACAAAAAUUGGAAUGAUACAGAGAAGAUUAGCAUGGUCCCUGCGCAAGGAUGACAUGCAAAUUUGUGAAGCGAAAAUGGAGGAC